Molecule: ribosomal RNA, 231 nt
Filed under: Pseudomonas coronafaciens
Lineage: Bacteria; Pseudomonadati; Pseudomonadota; Gammaproteobacteria; Pseudomonadales; Pseudomonadaceae
Description: partial 23S ribosomal RNA
Rfam family: Bacterial large subunit ribosomal RNA
Source: RNAcentral
UGAAAUCGAGUAGGACGGGGCACGAGAAACCUUGUCUGAAUAUGGGGGGACCAUCCUCCAAGGCUAAAUACUACUGACUGACCGAUAGUGAACCAGUACCGUGAGGGAAAGGCGAAAAGAACCGCGGAGAGCGGAGUGAAAUAGAUCCUGAAACCGUAUGCGUACAAGCAGUGGGAGCCCACAUUGUUGGGUGACUGCGUACCUUUUGUAUAAUGGGUCAGCGACUUAUUG